GGCUGCCUCGAGAGGCUAGUAACAAGUUUCCACCCGUGGUGCGGGGUCCGAAGCCCACACCUGGAAACCCAGGGAAGUAAAGUUGCGUCUUGAUCGUGGAGGCGACAGCUUCACGAAUUCCUGGAGAUGACGGCGUCCGGGAGUUGUAUGGCCCAGAAAACCUGGGAACUGGCCAACAACAUGCAGGAAGCCCAGAGCAUCGACGAAAUCUACAAAUACGACAAGAAGCAGCAGCAAGAAAUCCUGGCGGCGAAGCCUUGGACUAAGGAUCACCAUUACUUUAAGUACUGCAAAAUCUCAGCAUUGGCUCUACUGAAAAUGGUGAUGCACGCCAGAUCAGGAGGCAACCUGGAAGUGAUGGGCUUGAUGCUGGGAAAGGUGGAUGGUGAAACUAUGAUCAUUAUGGACAGUUUUGCUUUGCCUGUAGAGGGCACUGAAACCCGAGUAAAUGCUCAGGCUGCUGCAUAUGAGUACAUGGCUGCAUAUAUAGAAAAUGCCAAACAGGUUGGCCGCCUUGAAAAUGCAAUUGGCUGGUAUCAUAGCCACCCUGGCUAUGGCUGCUGGCUUUCUGGGAUUGAUGUUAGUACUCAGAUGCUCAAUCAGCAGUUCCAGGAGCCAUUCGUAGCAGUGGUGAUUGACCCAACAAGAACAAUAUCUGCAGGGAAAGUGAAUCUUGGAGCCUUUAGGACAUACCCAAAGGGCUACAAACCUCCUGAUGAGGGACCUUCUGAGUACCAGACUAUCCCACUUAAUAAAAUAGAAGACUUUGGUGUACACUGCAAACAAUAUUAUGCCUUAGAAGUCUCAUAUUUCAAGUCCUCUCUGGAUCGCAAAUUGCUUGAGCUUUUGUGGAAUAAAUACUGGGUGAAUACAUUGAGUUCCUCUAGCUUGCUUACUAAUGCAGACUAUACCACCGGCCAGGUUUUUGAUUUGUCUGAAAAAUUAGAACAGUCAGAAGCCCAGCUGGGACGAGGGAGUUUCAUGUUGGGUUUAGAAACACACGACCGAAAGUCAGAAGACAAACUUGCCAAAGCUACGCGAGACAGGUAAGAGCAAAUCUGUUCUAGCCCCUCUUUCUGUUUCAAGAUUUGCAAGUAAUAGUAGGAUUCAGAUUCCUUAUGGUUUAACUUACUUAUAACUUAGAAUCGUGCCUGAAUAUUAACUUCUUGGGACCCUUAAGAGUUAUCAGAGGCAGAUCUUAACUUUGAAAAUAUGGAGACUUUAGAUAAGAACAUUAAAAUCUUAGAGGUCUAGGUAAUGUUAUAAAAAAAUCCUUUUCUAGGAGUCACACCUUUUCUAGGUUUAGGUAGAAAAUGUAACAAAGAAAACCAAUCAGUCACUGAGUCUUUGAAAAAAAGCUUUUGCAAAAGGAUGCCAUAAUCCAUUCUAACCUAAUUAUUUUCUGAGGAAUUAAAAUAGGAUUUCUUAAAUUUUAAAUUUAUCAAAUUUCAAAGUUUUAUAAAGUUUUAAGCCCCUUAAUAGCACACUAAUGAUUGUAUCUCCCUUGUUAUUCUUCUGAAAUUAUCUUUGGUUUAGUAUCCCAAAUUUCACUAUCAAGAUUUGUUAGGAACAAACUUGGGAUAUGUUCUCUUGAUAACUUAGGAAAUAAUUAUGUGGCCCUUCAGAUGCAUACAGGAUUGGGAAGACCACCUAAAUGACAUUUACUUUCAAAAAAAUUUUGAGUUUUAAUGUGAUAAUUAGGGGCAGAAAGGAGGGGGAAAUUAUGUUGACAUCUGUAUAAACUGAAACCUUGGUAUCCAUUUUAAGAAAAACUGGCCUGGUAGAUGGAAAGAAGGGAAGAGGGAAGACAUUGUAUUCGGAGCAGAAGCCCUCUUGGCUGUAAAACGACCAUAGAAGCUAUCCAUGGAUUGAUGUCUCAGGUUAUUAAGGAUAAACUGUUUAAUCAAAUUAAUAUUUCUUAAA
This is an RNA transcript of Miniopterus natalensis, 1923 nucleotides long. It is a transcript of the gene named COP9 signalosome subunit 5, with no coding region annotated. Lineage: Eukaryota; Metazoa; Chordata; Mammalia; Chiroptera; Miniopteridae. The record is from RefSeq and is a predicted model, not a curated record.